AGAGUUUGAUCCUGGCUCAGGAUGAACGCUAACUACAGGCUUAACACAUGCAAGUCGAGGGGCAGCAUGGCGUCUAGCAAUAGAUGCUGAUGGCGACCGGCGCACGGGUGAGUAACACGUAUCCAACCUGGCCCAUACUAGGGAAUAGCCUGCCGAAAGGCAGAUUAAUGCCCUAUGUUGUGUAUUGAUGGCAUCAGAUUUACACCAAAGAUUCAUCGGUAUGGGAUGGGGAUGCGUCCGAUUAGCUUGACGGCGGGGUAACGGCCCACCGUGGCUACGAUCGGUAGGGGUUCUGAGAGGAAGGUCCCCCACACUGGAACUGAGACACGGUCCAGACUCCUACGGGAGGCAGCAGUGAGGAAUAUUGGUCAAUGGGCGUAAGCCUGAACCAGCCAAGUAGCGUGAGGGAAGACUGCCCUAUGGGUUGUAAACCUCUUUUAUAAGGGAAUAACUGACGAUACGUGUAUUGUUUUGCAUGUACCUUAUGAAUAAUGACCGGCUAAUUCCGUGCCAGCAGCCGCGGUAAUACGGAAGGUCAGGGCGUUAUCCGGAUUUAUUGGGUUUAAAGGGAGCGUAGGCGGUUGGUUAAGCGUGUUGUGAAAUGUCCCGGCCCAACCGGGGAUGUGCAACGCGAACUGGCUGACUUGAGUGCGUACGAGGUAUGCGGAAUUCGUCGUGUAGCGGUGAAAUGCUUAGAUAUGACGAAGAACUCCGAUUGCGAAGGCAGCAUGCCAGGCCGCUACUGACGCUGAAGCUCGAAGGUGCGGGUAUCGAACAGGAUUAGAUACCCUGGUAGUCCGCACGGUAAACGAAGGGAUGCCCGCUGUUUGCGAUAUACUGUGAGCGGCCAAGCGAAAGCGUUAAGCAUCCCACCUGGGGAGUACGCCGGCAACGGUGAAACUCAAAGGAAUUGACGGGGGCCCGCACAAGCGGAGGAACAUGUGGUUUAAUUCGAUGAUACGCGAGGAACCUUACCCGGGCUUGAAUUGCAGAGGAACAAUCCAGAGAUGGUGCGGCCCUUCGGGGCCUCUGUGAAGGUGCUGCAUGGUUGUCGUCAGCUCGUGCCGUGAGGUGUCGGCUUAAGUGCCAUAACGAGCGCAACCCCUGUUGCCAGUUGCCAUCCUUUAGUUGGGCACUCUGGCGAGACUGCCACCGUAAGGUGUGAGGAAGGUGGGGAUGACGUCAAAUCAGCACGGCCCUUACGUCCGGGGCUACACACGUGUUACAAUGGGUGAUACAGAGAGUCGUGCAUGCGCAAGUAUGUUCCAAUCUUUAAAGUCAUCCUCAGUUCGGACUGGGGUCUGCAACCCGACCCCACGAAGCUGGAUUCGCUAGUAAUCGCGCAUCAGCCAUGGCGCGGUGAAUACGUUCCCGGGCCUUGCACACACCGCCCGUCA
RNAcentral lists this ribosomal RNA (1397 nucleotides) under uncultured bacterium. RNAcentral's name for it is "16S ribosomal RNA". It matches the Rfam family "Bacterial small subunit ribosomal RNA". The record is from RNAcentral.